UUUCUUUAAUGUACUUUCUAGUGUUUUCGGUGAAAAACAUUUUAACGUUUGCUUUCAGUCAUUUUGAAGCAACAUUAUUCAAACUUUUUUGAAUAUAGCUGAGAAAAAAUGGUUAAAAAUAAACCAUGUUUUACGUGAGUAUUAGGGUCCAUUGGGGUUACCGGGGCGACCUGGGGAACGUGGUGACAAAGGUGACCCUGGAAAUCCCGGUUUACCGGGUGCUGAUGGGAAAAAGGGAGAUACAGGCGAGCCGGGGAAACCUGGGCCUCCUGGAACACAAAUCUUUGCUGACAGCACAUGUCGACCAGAGUCAUUAAGGUGAGCUUAAGAAUAAAAUGCAUCAUAACUUAAAAUGAAUGUUGUUGAUUGUUGAAAAUUAACUUUUAUCAUGUAGGGUGAGCCAGGAGAGCCUGGUCAGCCUGGUUCCAAAGGAGAAAUGGGUCUUCCUGGGCAAAGAGUGAGUUUAUUCUGGGACAGCUAAGCUUAACCUCCAAUUAAAAAUGUUAUUUUUAGUGUUUUUAGCAUGUUCCUGUGCUCUUUUUCGGGGGAUGGAGA
This 555-nucleotide long non-coding RNA is filed under the name Oryzias javanicus (javanese ricefish). Its description in RNAcentral is "lncRNA (ENSOJAG00000016802.1)". Lineage: Eukaryota; Metazoa; Chordata; Actinopteri; Beloniformes; Adrianichthyidae. The record is from RNAcentral.